UACAGAGGGUGCGAGCGUUACUCGGAAUUACUGGGCGUAAAGCGUGCGUAGACGGCUAUCUAAGUCGGGUGUGAAAGCCCCGGGCUCAACCUGGGAAUUGCAUUCGAGACUGAAUAGCUAGGGUACGGUAGAGGGAAGUGGAAUUUCCGGUGUAGCGGUGAAAUGCGUAGAUAUCAGGAAGAACACCUAUGGCGAAGGCAGCUCUCUGGGACGGUACUGACGCUGAGACGCGAAAGCGUGGGGAGCGAACAGG
This 253-nucleotide ribosomal RNA is filed under the name uncultured bacterium. RNAcentral's name for it is "partial 16S ribosomal RNA". It matches the Rfam family "Bacterial small subunit ribosomal RNA", at positions 524 to 776 of the family's 1533-position model. The record is from RNAcentral.